RNAcentral lists this non-coding RNA (130 nucleotides) under Phascolarctos cinereus (koala). The record is from RNAcentral. Lineage: Eukaryota; Metazoa; Chordata; Mammalia; Diprotodontia; Phascolarctidae.
AUGAUGUAUGAAAGGGGAGAAGGUUAGCACUACCCUUGAUAAUAAAGAAAGAGGUCAUAGUGGUCUUUACAACACAUGCAUGGUUAAGGCAUUGCCAUUGCCACCUGUUGUGUAGAAUCUAACAAUUUUU